Brassica oleracea var. oleracea is the source of this 1258-nucleotide long non-coding RNA. RefSeq lists it as uncharacterized. NCBI's taxonomy places the organism in Eukaryota, Viridiplantae, Streptophyta, Magnoliopsida, Brassicales, Brassicaceae. The record is from RefSeq and is a predicted model, not a curated record. The transcript has 2 exons.
AACCACAGGACAAAAACAAAAUCCCUUGUCGUUUUAGAUCCAAUCGGUUUCUAGGGUUCUCGAUAAAAACCAACCAUUGAUCUGAGAUGAGAUGGCUGAUAUCAUGAAGCAAAUCUUAGCGAGAAGCCGAUCCAACUGUCUGACCAGGUGAUGAAAGCGGCUGAUGAGGCUAGUUCGUUCAAGCAGGAGUGCGGUCUUCUCCGCUCCCGCUGAGGAUCGCGGUGACGCUGGUUACCUUGGUCUUCCUCCUAUGGCUGCCAACGAGCCCAUCCUCUGGGAGCAUAUUGCUCUUCUCCACACCGGAUCCCUUGAAGACCGCUCCGAUGCUGCCGCUUCCCUCGUUUCUCUUACCCAUCAUAACGAUUGCUACAUUAAGCUUAUCAUCGCGGAAGGAGGCAUAGGGCCUCUCUUUACAGCAGGGGAACAAGUGUCGAGAGAAACGUUGGGUGUGUAGAACUAGAAGCUCAGUUAUCCAUUCCAUUCGCAGCUAAGAGAUUUUUUAUCAAGUCCAAGGUUUGGCGUGAGAUGUUCUGUUUCGCUCGAUAGAGAUACUCCCAUUACUGAUUCGUUCUCUACUCACGGGAGUAUGUAGUCUCCUUCUUUGUUGACCUAAAGUUUUCAUUUUUAUUAAUUGUUAGUGUUGCUUUGUUGGUUUACUGAGUGAUUAUGGAUCUUAGUAUAACAGAUUUCUUCACUCAAGCUAAACAAGUGAAGAGAAUUGAGAUCAGUGAUCAACAUAGGUAAUGCUUGUUGCUGUUUUUCUUGUAAUGCGACUCAAGUCAGUGUGUGGUGGUCAUCUAUGUUGACAUAUCGUGAGAAGAGACAUUCAUACAUGUACUUGGCGUACUUCGCUACUGGUGGAGCUCUCUAUUUGGUCAUGUUUCUGAGUUAUGUUCGUGGAACGAACAGAAGAGCUUUCUUUUGUUUCUAAAUUCUUAAACCAACUUUUGUUUUUUUUUAGCUUAGCUUGGCUACUCAAAAGAAAGAUUUGUAUGGUCUUUGAUCCAUCACAGUGGGUGCAAAUUACUUUCACCGAAAGGAAGACCAAUGAGAUCGAAGAGCCAAAGAAAAAGCAUAAAACAAAGGCUAAGGCUUAGAAGAUUUGUGGUUAACAUAUUUUGGAUGUUUAUUAUGUAUCUCGGUUUUAUUUUGAACUUAUGUAGGAUGAUAUGUAACUCUUGCUUGUGUUGAAUCCAUGUAGGAUGAUAUGUAAGACUAUUGCUUGUGUUGCAGGUUUGGACUACUAGAAUACUAGGUA